GCCCCGGUAAACGGCGGCCGUAACUAUAACGGUCCUAAGGUAGCGAAAUUCCUUGUCGGGUAAGUUCCGACCUGCACGAAUGGCGUAAUGAUGGCCAGGCUGUCUCCACCCGAGACUCAGUGAAAUUGAACUCGCUGUGAAGAUGCAGUGUACCCGCGGCAAGACGGAAAGACCCCGUGAACCUUUACUAUAGCUUGACACUGAACAUUGAGCCUUGAUGUGUAGGAUAGGUGGGAGGCUUUGAAGUGUG
Molecule: ribosomal RNA, 250 nt
Filed under: Escherichia coli
Lineage: Bacteria; Pseudomonadati; Pseudomonadota; Gammaproteobacteria; Enterobacterales; Enterobacteriaceae
Description: partial 23S ribosomal RNA
Rfam family: Bacterial large subunit ribosomal RNA
Source: RNAcentral